Molecule: ribosomal RNA, 253 nt
Filed under: uncultured bacterium
Lineage: Bacteria
Description: partial 16S ribosomal RNA
Rfam family: Bacterial small subunit ribosomal RNA
Source: RNAcentral
UACGUAGGGGGCUAGCGUUGUCCGGAAUCAUUGGGCGUAAAGCGCGCGUAGGCGGCCCGGUAAGUCCGCUGUAAAAGUCCAGGGCUCAACCCUGGAACGCCGGUGGAUACUGUCGGGCUAGAGUCCGGAAGAGGCGAGUGGAAUUCCUGGUGUAGCGGUGGAAUGCGCAGAUAUCAGGAGGAACACCGGUGGCGAAGGCGGCAUCCUGGACCGGUAUUGACGCUGAGGCGCGAAAGCUAGGGGAGCAAACGGG